UGGGGAAUUUUGGACAAUGGGCGAAAGCCUGAUCCAGCAAUGCCGCGUGUGUGAAGAAGGCCUUCGGGUUGUAAAGCACUUUUGUCCGGAAAGAAAUCCUUGGCUCUAAUACAGUCGGGGGAUGACGGUACCGGAAGAAUAAGCACCGGCUAACUACGUGCCAGCAGCCGCGGUAAUACGUAGGGUGCAAGCGUUAAUCGGAAUUACUGGGCGUAAAGCGUGCGCAGGCGGUUUGCUAAGACCGAUGUGAAAUCCCCGGGCUCAACCUGGGAACUGCAUUGGUGACUGGCAGGCUAGAGUAUGGCAGAGGGGGGUAGAAUUCCACGUGUAGCAGUGAAAUGCGUAGAGAUGUGGAGGAAUACCGAUGGCGAAGGCAGCCCCCUGGGCCAAUACUGACGCUCAUGCACGAAAGCGUGGGGAGCAAACAGGAUUAGAUACCCUGGUAGUCCACGCCCUAAACGAUGUCAACUAGUUGUUGGGGAUUCAUUUCCUAGUAACGUAGCUAACGCGUGAAGUUGACCGCCUGGGGAGUACGGUCGCAAGAUUAAAACUUAAAUGAA
RNAcentral lists this ribosomal RNA (560 nucleotides) under uncultured bacterium. RNAcentral describes it as "partial 16S ribosomal RNA". It matches the Rfam family "Bacterial small subunit ribosomal RNA", at positions 355 to 909 of the family's 1533-position model. The record is from RNAcentral.